AGAGUUUGAUCCUGGCUCAGGAUGAACGCUGGCGGCGUGCCUAAUACAUGCAAGUCGAGCGAACGGACGAGAAGCUUGCUUCUCUGAUGUUAGCGGCGGACGGGUGAGUAACACGUGGAUAACCUACCUAUAAGACUGGGAUAACUUCGGGAAACCGGAGCUAAUACCGGAUAAUAUUUUGAACCGCAUGGUUCAAAAGUGAAAGACGGUCUUGCUGUCACUUAUAGAUGGAUCCGCGCUGCAUUAGCUAGUUGGUAAGGUAACGGCUUACCAAGGCAACGAUGCAUAGCCGACCUGAGAGGGUGAUCGGCCACACUGGAACUGAGACACGGUCCAGACUCCUACGGGAGGCAGCAGUAGGGAAUCUUCCGCAAUGGGCGAAAGCCUGACGGAGCAACGCCGCGUGAGUGAUGAAGGUCUUCGGAUCGUAAAACUCUGUUAUUAGGGAAGAACAUAUGUGUAAGUAACUGUGCACAUCUUGACGGUACCUAAUCAGAAAGCCACGGCUAACUACGUGCCAGCAGCCGCGGUAAUACGUAGGUGGCAAGCGUUAUCCGGAAUUAUUGGGCGUAAAGCGCGCGUAGGCGGUUUUUUAAGUCUGAUGUGAAAGCCCACGGCUCAACCGUGGAGGGUCAUUGGAAACUGGAAAACUUGAGUGCAGAAGAGGAAAGUGGAAUUCCAUGUGUAGCGGUGAAAUGCGCAGAGAUAUGGAGGAACACCAGUGGCGAAGGCGACUUUCUGGUCUGUAACUGACGCUGAUGUGCGAAAGCGUGGGGAUCAAACAGGAUUAGAUACCCUGGUAGUCCACGCCGUAAACGAUGAGUGCUAAGUGUUAGGGGGUUUCCGCCCCUUAGUGCUGCAGCUAACGCAUUAAGCACUCCGCCUGGGGAGUACGACCGCAAGGUUGAAACUCAAAGGAAUUGACGGGGACCCGCACAAGCGGUGGAGCAUGUGGUUUAAUUCGAAGCAACGCGAAGAACCUUACCAAAUCUUGACAUCCUUUGACAACUCUAGAGAUAGAGCCUUCCCCUUCGGGGGACAAAGUGACAGGUGGUGCAUGGUUGUCGUCAGCUCGUGUCGUGAGAUGUUGGGUUAAGUCCCGCAACGAGCGCAACCCUUAAGCUUAGUUGCCAUCAUUAAGUUGGGCACUCUAAGUUGACUGCCGGUGACAAACCGGAGGAAGGUGGGGAUGACGUCAAAUCAUCAUGCCCCUUAUGAUUUGGGCUACACACGUGCUACAAUGGACAAUACAAAGGGCAGCGAAACCGCGAGGUCANNNNNNNNNNNNNNNNAGCUUAGUUGCCAUCAUUAAGUUGGGCACUCUAAGUUGACUGCCGGUGACAAACCGGAGGAAGGUGGGGAUGACGUCAAAUCAUCAUGCCCCUUAUGAUUUGGGCUACACACGUGCUACAAUGGACAAUACAAAGGGCAGCGAAACCGCGAGGUCAAGCAAAUCCCAUAAAGUUGUUCUCAGUUCGGAUUGUAGUCUGCAACUCGACUACAUGAAGCUGGAAUCGCUAGUAAUCGUAGAUCAGCAUGCUACGGUGAAUACGUUCCCGGGUCUUGUACACACCGCCCGUCACACCACGAGAGUUUGUAACACCCGAAGCCGGUGGAGUAACCUUUUAGGAGCUAGCCGUCGAAGGUGGGACAAAUGAUUGGGGUGAAGUCGUAACAAGGUAGCCGUAUCGGAAGGUGCGGCUGGAUCACCU
RNAcentral lists this ribosomal RNA (1712 nucleotides) under Staphylococcus aureus. RNAcentral's name for it is "bacterial SSU rRNA". It matches the Rfam family "Bacterial small subunit ribosomal RNA". Lineage: Bacteria; Bacillati; Bacillota; Bacilli; Caryophanales; Staphylococcaceae. The record is from RNAcentral.